Helianthus annuus (common sunflower) is the source of this 3309-nucleotide long non-coding RNA. RefSeq lists it as uncharacterized. The transcript is spliced from 9 exons. The record is from RefSeq and is a predicted model, not a curated record. Lineage: Eukaryota; Viridiplantae; Streptophyta; Magnoliopsida; Asterales; Asteraceae.
AUGUUUUCCUUCACGAACCCUAAUCUCGGUCACCGCUGCUGAUCAAGAAAACCCUAGAUGUGCAUACGCAUCUUCUUCAUCAAAUCCCCGGAUCAAGCCGCUACAAUCGUUUCUUCAAAGAUCCAGCCACUAUAAUCAUUCUGGGAACGGUUUUGGAUGGACAUGCCCUUAUAUUAAUUACAGUUGUGCCAUGUUAAGAACAAUGAUAGAGUAAAAGAGAAGGUGGGCGAAGAUCAAAGUUCAACGAAGUUAAUUGUGAGAAAACUUUUUUUAGGUCAAAUAUGAAAAAUAUUUAUACCCAUUUCAUUCCAAUUGUGAGAAAUGUAGCUUUUGAAGCUACCGAGAAAGAGUUGCGCCAAUUGUUUAGCCCUUUUGGUCAGGUAAAGAGUUUAAGGCUUCCAACAAGGUUCGGGAAGCAUAGAGGAUUUGCUUUUGUCGAGUAUGUAACAAAACAAGAGACGAAAAACGCCUUGCAAGCUCUAUCAAACACUAAUUUAUAUGGGCGUCAUCUGGUAUGCUUUUCGGGGAAAUUUUUAAUUUAAAUUUUACCUAUUUAUCUUCUAUUAUCAUAUUACAGAAACACAGGUUUUUAAACCGUGGACAAAGUUAAACAUUACUAUUUGUUAGUUUGUUACUGAAUGGCUGAGUACGUAGAAGCUAGAACGAGUCAUAAUCCUCUCAAAAAGAUCUACACUUUAAAACCAGAGGCAACGAUUUCAUCCCAUUUGCGUAUGAAUGGGUAAAAAUAGGUAAAAAUGUAUCGGGUCAAAUCACUCAAAUAGCUGGAACAUGUAGAUGAUUAUAUGAACCUGUGAAUGUCUUACUUUACUUACAAGUACAUGUUCUUUCAACUUAUUAUUUAGAAUAUUUCACUACAUUGAAUAUUUGACUAAUUAUUUAUUCAUUUGUUGUGUAUGCACCCCAACUAGAGUCCUGAAAAUGGUGGUUUUGCAAUUUGCAGCCACCAGUUCCGAAACCAUAUUUACAGAUUUAGGACGAUAUGCUACACGAUUGUAUGUUCGUCUAUGGCUCCAUGGACUCUAGCGGGGUUUAAGAUCACUUGACGGUAGUACAUAUUGUAUUAUAGUAUUAUGAAGGAACUAGGAAAAUUUGGUUAGCAAAGAAGUCUGGACAGAUAUAUAAGCAUCCGUAGGAUGUUGGUGUAUACAGAAAUGUCACUAUGGUACCACCCUUUUCUUCAUUAUGCAAAGGUACAAUCAUUUAUACAUGGUGCUGAGUACAAUCCCAAAAACAAUACCAACAACCCAUAGCCAUAAUCCCCACCUCAUACUGCAGCCAAACAUUACUAUUUUGCAAUAAAAAAUGAACCAAAUGUGUUUGUUGCUCAACUCGACCUGUUACCCAACCUACCCAUGCAUUUUUUUUUUGUCAGGGUCAUUACCACAUGCCUAAGACACGUGGACUUUGCCUUUCUGAGGAACAAACUAUCAGCAUAGUACGUUUUGAGAAGACCAAGAAUUGGGAUGACAAAAAACGGUUAGAUAUAUUUUCAUUGUCAAGUGUGCUUGACAAGCGACAAAAAUGAGAUUUUUGAUGACGAGCGUAUGAAUUCAUUAGAAGAAGCUAAGAAACAAGCCAUAUCCGGCGGAUUGGACAGAGUUGUUCUCAAGCAAAUGGUAUAUUCAGAAACCCUGCAUCAGUAAGAGAGACUAAAGAAUCAAAUCUUUCCCUCCUUACUUAUGGCAAAUUAAACAGUGUCCCCGAAGCGAUACAUGCUCAAUAUCUUAUAGGCGUAAUCGUCGAUUUAGUACAAGAAAUCACAAGUGCAGUUACGUGUUUAAAAAACGAAGAUGAAGGAGCGGAGGUGAAAGAGAGCACAAACAAGAUUGAACCGUCUUUUUUUGCUGAAUUUGUAUCACAAGUGAUGCAGCAUUGAAGUUCGGUACAUUCGAGUUGGGUCGCGUAGGGUCAUUUUUUAUUAAAUGUAUCCCGUGUGAGAAUUGAGUUUGGUUAGGAUGAUAAGUAGUGGAGUUCUGUUUAUCUUUAAUUUCUUGAUCACUCAAAUGAAGCUGGUUAAAUUUUUCGCAUUUUUAUGUCAUUGAAUGACACUAUUUACUUAAGUUGUUAUUGUUAACAUCUAUGAAGACAUUUUUUAAUUUAUUAUUGUAUUAACAAUUAAUCAAUGUUGUGUAAAAGUUUAAUGAAAUACUAUGUUACAUUUUAACAAAAAAAACAUGUUUAUUAACUAAUAAAAAUAAACAACCCGGGAAGCAUUCCCGGGUAAUAACCUAGUGAAAGAUACAUAUAAUUUUGCGUUCCAUAAUACAAUAACAAUGAAUAUUUUGGUAGGAAAGUUACGGGAAAAUCUUGUUUCAUACUCUGUCUAGUACGUAUCACACAUUUAUUUACCUUGUAUUUACCUGUCAAGUAUCAAGUAUACCCGUUAGUGUUUUAAAAAAAAAAAACCAUGGGAAUUUUCAUAUUGUUUACUUUCAGUACCAAGGGGACAUAGAUGCAACAUGGGUUAUGAUAUUUUGGGUCAUGGCAACCCUAUGUCAUUCAUGACCUUUUCACAACCACAAGCAAUAGGCUUGUGAGACCCCCCCACCCCACCCCUGGCCAUCGUAUAGGUAUGGUAGUGUCAUGAUGCAUACGAGAAACCAUAACCUCCUUUUAAGCCAGUUCCACACAUCCACACAUCCCAUUAAGCAAUCGUUUAAUCAAAGUUUAUGGCAUUGUUGUAAUAAUAUUGUUUUUGCAAUUACAUUUAAUGCAUUAGUUAUUUGUUAAAGUUUUAGAAAGAUGGAAAAAGAAGUGUUUUUGGGUCAACCCGACCCGACCCCUUUUGACCCGUUACAAGAAAGGUUUGUUUUGACCUGUUAGUGUUUAUAUUUGUCUUACAGGUUAUUGAGUUCUCUCUCACAAACGCUACAGAAUGCGGGUGUGGAUUUGACGCAUGCCACCAUAUCCGUACAGGUUGAUAUUGGGAAACGAGCAAAAAUAGAGGACCGACAUCUGGCGCAUCGGCUGCAAAGGAUGAUGAGUAUACUCAUUUUAGCAAUCAAGCAGUGGGCCAGUUUCAAGAUUUUAGCAAAGGGACAACUCACAUCAAGCUUCAAAAAUACUCAAGACAUGACCCUACUUCUCGACCCCGUAUUCAGCCUUUUUACGUAUGUGGGGUGGGGCGGGGCGGUUAUAUAACUGAAAGACCAGUCAAAGUUGUAUUUUUCGCGUCGGUUUUUUGUCGUUGGCAUCCUGAGAGAUCUGUGUUCUUCUGCUCUAUAAAGAAGUGUAUUACAGUUUUUGUUUGGUUGGUAGUGUGGAUGUGGUCUUUAGUUUUGGUAUGAA